Molecule: long non-coding RNA, 217 nt
Filed under: Mytilus galloprovincialis (Mediterranean mussel)
Lineage: Eukaryota; Metazoa; Mollusca; Bivalvia; Mytilida; Mytilidae
Source: RNAcentral
UCUAAUUAUCAAUGCAUUUAAUCAUUACCCGUUGGAGAGUCAUUAUUUGUGAGCUCUUUUGUUACAGCUGAUAUCAAAGGAUAAACGCCGUCAUCGCACUCAUCCCCUAUGAAGUCGUCCAAAUCAAGAGCCCAAAACAUAGCACCUCCUAGUCCUUUCUCUUUGAUAUACUUUGCCUGAAAAUUUUUAUUUGUCAAUGAAGAUUGCUCGUUUGUAA